UAGGUAACCUGCCUUGUANCGGGGGAUAACUAUUGGAAACGAUAGCUAAUACCGCAUAACAAUGGAUGACACAUGUCAUUUAUUUUGAAAGGGGCAAUUGCUCCACUACAAGAUGGACCUGCGUUGUAUUAGCUAGUAGGUGAGGUAAUGGCUCACCUAGGCGACGAUACAUAGCCGACCUGAGAGGGUGAUCGGCCACACUGGGACUGAGACACGGCCCAGACUCCUACGGGAGGCAGCAUG
This 243-nucleotide ribosomal RNA is filed under the name uncultured bacterium. Its description in RNAcentral is "partial 16S ribosomal RNA". It matches the Rfam family "Bacterial small subunit ribosomal RNA", at positions 118 to 353 of the family's 1533-position model. The record is from RNAcentral.